UCAAACUUGGUCAUUUAGAGGAAGUAAAAGUCGUAACAAGGUUUCCGUAGGUGAACCUGCGGCAGGCUCAUUAAUGGGUUCUUGUGAAGGGCUGUCGCUGGCCAUAGUACCACUGUGGCAUGUGCACGCCUGGAUCAUUCACAAUCUUCCCCUCUCACACCUGUGCACAACCCGUAGCACAUGGGUUGGUUAUUGCAUAAUUUCUGCCCUACAUGGGCUAUGCUUUUCUCUCUACAUACACCUGUCUUGUAAUAAAGUCUGUUGGUGCAAGCUUUGUGCAUAUACAAUUAUAAAACAACUUUCAGCAAUGGAUCUCUUGGCUCUCGCAUCAAUGAAGAACGCAGC
Molecule: unclassified non-coding RNA, 345 nt
Filed under: uncultured fungus
Lineage: Eukaryota; Fungi
Description: partial contains small subunit ribosomal RNA, internal transcribed spacer 1, and 5.8S ribosomal RNA
Rfam family: Eukaryotic small subunit ribosomal RNA (bases 1-73)
Source: RNAcentral